Molecule: RNA transcript, 5369 nt
Organism: Osmia lignaria (orchard mason bee)
Lineage: Eukaryota; Metazoa; Arthropoda; Insecta; Hymenoptera; Megachilidae
Gene: Larp4B
Gene name: La-related protein 4B
Source: RefSeq, a predicted model, not a curated record
AUGAAUGGUGAUUUCGGGUACGUGUACAUGAAUGGGGACAUUGGGAAGCUCCCACCAGGGGCGGUGUAUCCAGCCACCCCUGAACCUUUGGGUUCUGUUGGGGGUGCAAUUGGAAGUACUGCAUCCAAUUUGGAAUAUAACAUCAUGAACGGCGUUCCAAGUGGAAAUGAAUUGAUAUUGGAGGCGAGUGUUGGUAAUCUAGAGCCUUCACCACAGCAUGCUAUAGGUAUAGGAGGUGCUGCAGGUUAUGGACCAGUGGAUGUUGCUGCUUUAGGUGAUGUGCCAAAUCAACCUGCUCCAAUGGCUGAUUUAUCUACUCCUGGUAUACCUUUGGAACAACUUAAACAGAUGCUCUCUUCGCAACUUGAAUAUUAUUUCUCCAGAGAAAAUUUAGCCAACGAUACAUAUUUAUUAUCACAAAUGGAUAAUGAUCAAUAUGUACCAAUAUGGACAGUAGCAAAUUUUAAUCAAGUUAAGAAAUUAACAAAGGAUAUAAAACUUAUAACGGAAGUUCUGAGGGAAUCUCCGAAUGUGCAAGUUGACGAAGAAGGGCAAAAAGUAAGACCUAAUCAUAAACGAUGUAUUGUAAUUCUUCGCGAAAUACCAGAUAACACGCCGCUGGAAGAUGUGAAGAAUUUAUUUUCUGGAGAAGGAUGUCCAAGGUUCAUUUCAUGUGAAUUUGCCCAUAAUAGUUCUUGGUAUGUAACAUUUGAAUCUGAUGACGAUGCUCAAAAGGCCUAUAGGUUUUUACGUGAAGAAGUUCGGGAGUUUCAGGGAAAGCCAAUAAUGGCAAGAAUUAAAGCUAAACCAAUGAAUAGGCUACCGAUACCAGCAGUUGCUGGUGUGAGUGGUAUUAAAAAUGGUUAUAGAACACCACCGCCACCGCCUGUCUAUGAUCCAAAUAGUUAUACAGCUGGGCAGCAACGCUUCCUUUAUACAAAUGGUACUACUAUGCCACAAACUACUAUGCCGCCAUAUGCCAAUCAGGUUCAUGUAUAUCAUCAGCCAUUUUAUCCUGCUGGAAUGAUGCCUUGGGGACCUGCAAGUCCUGCUUAUUUUGAUAUGUCAAGUGUUUUCACAAUGAAUGGUAUUACAGCACAUAACACAUUCAAACCACAUAAUACGAGAUACAAUCCGCGUCACAGAAAUAAACAAAGAAAUGGGUCCGAAAGACCAGGCUUAAUGGAUGGCGGAGGCAACAUGGUAUCGAUGGGACGAACCUCACACCCGCCUAUAAGCGGACCACCAAUAUCUUUAGGAGCAACAGUUCCGACCUUUACUUCGAGCUUGCCUACGGUGAAGCCAACCUCUUCUUCCUAUCAAACCGGCACAAAGUUCCAUUCCUCGCAUACAACCGUAGCACCUGGAGAGGCCCAGUACAAUAACAGCCACUCUAAAGGAUCCCAGGAAAGUGACGCUCAAACUGUGGAUUCUGGAGUUCAGUUUCCGCGUCAUCGUAUGCAUCGUAGGAUCAAAGAUCAAGAGUCAUUGUCAAAGGCUAACAAUAGCCCUUUACCAUCGAUCAGGGAAUCAACCCCGGCCAGUAAUAAUAACACACAAUGUAACCGAGGGGCACAAUUCGAUUUGGAAGCUUCUGCUUUCCCUCCUCUUCCUGGCCUAGAUGCAGAUAUUGCAAAAUCCCAUAAUGCUUCAGUAGAGACUGUUGGUACCGAUUGUACGCAAUCACAGAAUAGGCUUUCAGAUGUAGUUAAGGGUACUGCAAAAUUGAAAAGCGUUAAAGAAAAAGAAUCUGCAGGAACUUCGCAACAAUAUAAUCAACAACAACAACAACAACAACAACAACAACAACAACAACAACAACCAACAAGUAAUAGCAGUAGGUCUGCAAGUCCAGGAUCGAGUGCUGGUGGUCAUGCUGGCUCGUUAGAGGCUCCAACUGGUUCUGGCAGUACAUCAGCUACUCCCGUUGCAUCUACAAAUGUCAGCUCUAAUGCUUCUGUUAGCAACAAUGACUCCACAGACAUCGCUCUCAGCACCAUCACCCUCACUCCCCCGUCAUCUCCUGAUAAGUUUAGUCCUUUAUUAUUGAAAUGCACCGCUGACAGAUCUGUAAAGACUGACGAUUCGAACAUGGUGAAUGGAGUGGACGAGGCUGUUACAAAUGCACACACAGUGGAAGAUUCUGAACAAGUAUCUAGGUGUGAAUGUAAUUCCUCUGCUGCCUCACAAAAUUCCCAGUCACAAGUGGGAGUGUCUUCUACUUUCCCCGUAGAUCUUCUGAAGCCAAGCUAUGCCCAAGUAGCACAGCACUGUCGUGAACUACCUUGUACAAAGCAUAAAACAGAUGAAAGAGAUGGAAAUGUAUAAAUCAAUAUAUACUACCACAGUGAAUUUCAAUAUUUAGCUGUUAUUCUUCAUCUGGAUUAUAUGGAUUAUGUACCACUAUUUUUAUCCUACACUGGGUAUAGUGGGUACGAAGAAAACUUUUUACAUUGUACAGUGACUUCGCCUACAAUGAAUGUGGUAUCAAUUAACUAUGAAUCAUAAAGAAUUGUUUGAAGAAACUCUAAUUCGCUGCAUAUUUAAGAAAAUAUGUUUGCUGGCAGGAUAAUACAUUGUGUAGAAGAGUAUUGUUAUUGCUUUGGUUCUGUGAUUUUGGAGCACAGGGCCGUAACUGGGAAAUGUUUAUCUUUGUGCCAAACCUUGCUAUGCGCGUACAGCUUAAUGAAUGUUCAGAGUGCAACGAAAUUUAUUCUCAAACAGAAUUCUGAUUUGUUUAAAUAAAAAAAGAGAAUGUAAUUUUUGAAGCAGAUAAAUGUUAAGAAUAUUUAUUAGAAAACGAUCUAAUUUCUGUUUCUCAUAAUUUCUUUUUUUAUAUAUAUCAUUACAAAUAUUCAUGGACAAAUUUUGCAUAGUUUCCAGAAUAUUAAUGACAAUUAUACUGAAUAACAAUUAAUGUACAAAUGAAACAUUUGCUGUAUUGUCUGAAUUCUAGUUUCUAUAAAGAAAAGAAAAAUCAAAAUCCGAGGAAAAUAAAAAAAGUGCUAUGUAUAUGUUAUUGCCUGCAAUAAUGCGUAUUGAGUUUUCUUUAAUAUUAACAGUAACAAAUAUAAUUAUUACAACAUAUUGUAGUCAUUAAAUUUAUAUUAAUAUUAUUGAAGCAUUAUUGCUUUAUAAAUAAUAAUGAUAAAAUAUUUAUGUAGUUAUUUCUAAUUUACAGGAACAUUAUUUUUUGAUUUAAACAAAAAAUGAAUAAUAUUAACAUUUUAUAUUGCCUCAAGUACAUUCUACUCUCCACUAGAAGCUUUAAAAUUUUUGUCCCAGUUGAAUCAGAAGUAAUAAUACAAUACGUGUUAUUGAUAUUCUGGAAAUAAUACUAACAGAUUUUAGUUUUGUGUUCAAGUUAAAAAAGACGAAAAGAACGAAUGGUAAUUGUUACAACAUUUAGGCACCUAUUUACGGCACUGACUUUUCUUUUUAAUAUUACCGUUACAUGAGAUAACAUACAAUUUAGAAUUAUGCUUUGGCAAGUAAUAUAAGAGUUGUCAGAAAUAUGGUCUUUGAGCACACAUUUAAGUGCCUCAAAACGUUGUGUAUAUUACAGGAGCUUGGCUUUAGAUGUUAUAUAAUUACAUGUAUCUAUACAUUGUAGCAAAGAACGCAUAUGAUAUAUUUGUUACUAAUAUGCGUACAGAAAUUGAAAUAAUGAAUAUUGAACGAAAAACCAAUCUCCUGAACUACAGAAUAAUUACCAAUAUGUAUAAUUAUACUUUACAUUUAUAAUACUGCCUUUUAAUUUUUUUAUAUCUGAAAUGAUUAGUCGCGAUGUUGAAUAUACAGAAAAAAAUUUGUUAUCAACUGUAAAUGCAUUAAGAUAUUAAUUAUUUCAGUUUAAAAUCGUGGUGCUGUAAACACUUUGCUUUAGCCUCAGUCCUGUAGCACAACUUACAUUAAUUGUAUCUCGGUGAUACAUUUAAAAAUUGGUGUAAUGUCGUUAAUUACAUCAACAAAUAAGUAUGAUACAUUUAAGAUACAUACAUAAAUAUCUUUUUAUUAGUAAAUUCAUUUGUUUGAAGAACGGGGCUUUACAUAUAUUUUAAUAUUAUUAUCUUUUAUUUUGUGUAGAUUUGCCAUUUCGUUUUCGUUCCUUUUUUUUUUUUUUUAUUUUGGAUCUAGAAUAUUACUUUAAAGAAAGUUGUGCACAUGUACUAUAUUUAAACAUGAUUAUAGAAAUAAUGAAAUGAACUGUGAGGCAAGAAAUUUUGUGUUGUUUUUCUUCCAAACUUAUAUCUCAUUAAAUGUGACAAUAAUGUAUUAUCAGUAUUUAAUUUCAGUUUCACUAACUAAUAAUAACAUUUGUCUUUUAUAUUUAUAUACAAAAGAAAGAUUAUUUCUAAAAUUAUAAGUCAUGUGCAUAUAUUUUUAAUAUUAUCGAAUGAUCAAAGACAUUAAUUGAUCAGUUAUUCUAUUUGGUUCACUUAUUUUGCAUACUAACAUGAAUUUACUAAUAAAAAUAUUUAUAUAAAUACGAAAAAUACACGCAUAUAUACAUAAAAAUUGGAUAAGCAUUAACAUUUCUUGAUAAUGGAAUUUUAGAAAACGUAAACGAUGUUAAAGUGAUUUGUCUUACUUUAUGCGUUACCCUAUAAAUUAUGUAUAGCUAAUUAUGUGUAUGCUUUGAAUAUUCGUUUUAAUUAUUGCUACGGAUUAUAUGUAAAAAAAGAAAUUGAAAGUUGAUUCCUCUCUAUACAUUGUCUUUACUAAAUGUAUGGAAUUUAAUGUAAGAAACACUAAACUGUUGGUAUAUUAUAUACCUGUACAAUACAAAGUGAGAAAUAGAUACACCAAUACCUUGGAUCGUAAUGAUCACAUGUAUUGUCGGAAAAAAAGGAAAAAAAAAUUAAUAAUAAUUGACAGUGACUAAUAACUAUCUAAAAUAUUUAGUUUGUAAUGCUGAAAGUAAAUUAAAUAAAACUUUCUUAAGCUUUAAAUAGAAAAAAAAAAGUUGAUGAUAAAAGUUUUUGUGCUGGCAGUUGAAUUAGAAUAUAUAUAAUUAUUUGAAGGUAAAAAACGAUUCCAAAUGGUCCAGGGUAAGGGUAGUAUAUUGGGAUAAAAUUGUGAUUGGAAUGUGUGGAAAAAGGUAUAUUAGAACUUCGUUCUUUUUUAAUAAUCUCGUCACAUAAUCGUGGCUGAUAAACUUACGUUCAUUCAUUCAUCAGAAUAAACUGUGAUUAGAUUGAAGUUCAACAGAAAUACAAUGUAUAAUGUACUCCGUUUCAUAGGCUAUACAGGCCUAGAAAGUCUGAUUUUUUAACUACUAUGAAAAACUUGUGUAUUAUAUGAUCUAUGACGUUUGUUUAUUACUAUGUAAAGUGACAAAUUUCAAAAUUAAACAUUAAUUACUGUUA